Molecule: ribosomal RNA, 460 nt
Filed under: uncultured bacterium
Lineage: Bacteria
Description: partial 16S ribosomal RNA
Rfam family: Bacterial small subunit ribosomal RNA
Source: RNAcentral
CCUACGGGUGGCAGCAGUGAGGAAUAUUGGUCAAUGGGCUUACGCCUGAACCAGCCAAGUCGCGUGAGGGAAGACUGCCCUAUGGGUUGUAAACCUCUUUUGUCAGGGAGCAAUUUGCGCUACGUGUAGCGUUAUCUAGAGUACCUGCAGAAAAAGCAUCGGCUAACUCCGUGCCAGCAGCCGCGGUAAUACGGAGGAUGCGAGCGUUCUCCGGAUUUAUUGGGUUUAAAGGGUGCGUAGGCGGAAUGCCAAGUCAGCGGUAAAAGCGCGGGGCUCAACCUCGCUCCGCCGUUGAAACUGGCGUUCUUGAGUGGGCGAGAAGUAUGCGGAAUGCGUGGUGUAGCGGUGAAAUGCAUAGAUAUCACGCAGAACUCCGAUUGCGAAGGCAGCAUACCGGAGCCCAACUGACGCUGAAGCACGAAAGCGUGGGUAUCGAACAGGAUUAGAUACCCGUGUAGUC